CUCAGUAAUGCCAAACUGGAGAACUCAUUUUUCUGAAACAGGUGCUAGAGGACUUCUUCAGCCCAGAGGAUGUGGAUAGAGUGGCCCUACAGGGGUUGACCCUGAACCAGACUCCCUGCCCUCCCCACCCCCAGACAGCAACCGACUACAGCCCUGCGACCCACCACCAAGCCCCCGUCAAAUGGGUUCGCCACAUCAUCCGCAGCGUGGAGGAGCAGUUUGUCGACGCAGAGGAUUGAGGUCCGGUGUGUCCUGAUACACUUUUUAUUAGUUAACUCUUUAAUCGUAAGCUCUUAGGAAUGAUAUUUUAGUUGGUUUCUCAGGUGUCAGGGUUAGGGUUAGUAUUACUUGUUCCUUGGUUUGUUAAUGAAUUAGGAUGUCAUAUUUGUAGCCUCGUUGACAGUUGGGUUACAUGUUAACAAUUCAUUAUUUUUUUUGUGAAUCAUUUCAAUAGAUGUGUAGUCUAACUCUUAACUAAAAGAGAAAUUGUAGUUUUUAUCUUAUUUUUUAAAUACUUUUGUUUUAAAAGCAAUCACCUGAUAUAGGCCCAUGUGUUCAAGUGUCACUCCCUUUAAAAUCAUAUGUGUUAAAAUGGAGAGGGCACAGUGCAAGAAUAAGUAUGUUUGGAUAUAUUCUCAAAUGGAUUUUCCUGAUUGAUUCUGAGCCCAUGGAGAGCAAGAGGUCAGGUUGCCAUGACUACAGCACCCUGUAAGACACCACCCACUGGGCACAGAUGUCAAUUCAACGUCUAUUCCAAGUUGGUUCAAUGUAAUUUCAUUGAAAUGGUGUGGAAACAAUGUUGAUUCAACCAGUGUGCGCUCAGUGGAAAUGAAAUUCAGCUUUUGAGAUCCAAGAUAUCUUUAAUGCAAAUAAACCAUGCAUUUUAACAACAAAA
Molecule: long non-coding RNA, 895 nt
Organism: Oncorhynchus tshawytscha (Chinook salmon)
Lineage: Eukaryota; Metazoa; Chordata; Actinopteri; Salmoniformes; Salmonidae
Source: Ensembl